This 440-nucleotide ribosomal RNA is filed under the name uncultured bacterium. RNAcentral describes it as "partial 16S ribosomal RNA". It matches the Rfam family "Bacterial small subunit ribosomal RNA", at positions 338 to 795 of the family's 1533-position model. The record is from RNAcentral.
CCUACGGGUGGCAGCAGUGGGGGAUAUUGGACAAUGGGGGAAACCCUGAUCCAGCGACGCCGCGUGUGGGAAGACGUAUUUCGGUACGUAUAGCUCUUUCAGCAGGAGAGAAAAUGACGGUACCUGGCUAAGAAGCCCCGGCUAACUAAGUUCCAGCCACCGCGGUAAUACGUAGGGGGGAGGCGGUUUCCGGAUUUACUGGGGGGAAAGGGGGCGUUGACGGGAGCGGAAGGCUGGAGUGAAAUGCCGCGGCCCAAACCCGGAACUGCUCUGGAAACUGUGGAGCUGGAGUGCAGUAGAGGUAGGCGGAAUUCCUGGUGUAGCGGUGAAAUGCGUAGAUAUCAGGAGGAACACCGGCGGCGAAGGCGGCUUACUGGACUGUAACUGACGUUGAGGCUCGAAGGCGUGGGGAGCAAACAGGAUUAGAUACCCUUGUAGUC